RNAcentral lists this ribosomal RNA (501 nucleotides) under uncultured bacterium. RNAcentral's name for it is "partial 16S ribosomal RNA". It matches the Rfam family "Bacterial small subunit ribosomal RNA", at positions 30 to 523 of the family's 1533-position model. The record is from RNAcentral.
AUUGAACGCUGGCGGCAGGCUUAACACAUGCAAGUCGAGCGGGGUGAUGGUGCUUGCACUAUCACUUAGCGGCGGACGGGUGAGUAAUGCUUAGGAAUCUGCCUAUUAGUGGGGGACAACAUCUCGAAAGGGAUGCUAAUACCGCAUACGUCCUACGGGAGAAAGCAGGGGAUCACUUGUGACCUUGCGCUAAUAGAUGGGCCUAAGUCGGAUUAGCUAGUUGGUGGGGUAAAGGCCUACCAAGGCGACGAUCUGUAGCGGGUCUGAGAGGAUGAUCCGCCAGACUGGGACUGAGACACGGCCCAGACUCUUACGGGAGGAAGCAGUGGGGAAUAUUGGACAAUGGGGGGAACCCUGAUCCAGCCAUGCCGCGUGUGAAGAAGGCCUUAUGGUUGUAAAGCACUUUAAGCGAGGAGGAGGCUCUUUUGGUUAAUACCCAAGAUGAGUGGACGUUACUCGCAGAAUAAGCACCGGCUAACUCUGUGCCAGCCGCCGCGGUAA